CGCUACUCCUGAUGGAAGUGGCAUCCUUUUUUAUUUGGUCACUGAGCGUAGUCGAAGUGAUCAAAUAAAAAAGAUAUAACGGACAGCAGGAACUAAC
RNAcentral lists this small RNA (97 nucleotides) under Mesoflavibacter zeaxanthinifaciens subsp. sabulilitoris. RNAcentral's name for it is "Flavo-1 RNA". It matches the Rfam family "Flavo-1 RNA". Lineage: Bacteria; Pseudomonadati; Bacteroidota; Flavobacteriia; Flavobacteriales; Flavobacteriaceae. The record is from RNAcentral.